AUGAAGGCUGGCCUGCGGGCACUGCCCAUGAACACGGCCACCCCACAGCUGCUCCUGGAAGGGGGAGCCCCAGAGCCCCAGGGCCGCACUCGCCGCUGCCUGUCAGCCCUCGAGUCCACAAGACAGCUGGAGGAGGAGGAAGAGGAAGAGGAGGAGGAAGAGGAGAGGGAGGAGCACCAGAAAGACAGGAAUGGCUUCCAUGCUGUACCCCUCCGAAGGGCAGGGGCUUUCCGGGCCCACAGCCACACCCACACCCACGACCCCUUCAAGAGACAUAGCUGGGGGCCUGACAGGGAGUUCCAGGACCCACUGAGCAGGUAAGCCUGGGUGUCUCCUGUCCUCUCCUUCCAUCCCUGGGCCCUAGAACAAGCUGUUGAGAAGAAACAUUCCAGGGUCCUUGCCCCUUCUCCAAAGCAGUCUCCAGACAGAUUUCUCUCUACUCCCAGCACUCAGGAGGCUCAGGCAGGAAGAACUUAAUUUCCAGGCCAUAUUGAGUUCAAGGCUGUCUGGACUACACAGUGAGACCCUGUCACAAACAAAUACUGACAGGGGUUGAGGAGACCUGGACUUCUAGUCCUUCCCCUGGAAAAUUGUUUUUGCUUGUUUUAGUCUUGGGUUUUUUUGAGACAGGGUCUUACUAUGUAAGGCUGACCCUCAAACUCAUAGUAAUCCUCCUGCCUGAGUCUCCUGAGUGCUGGGAUCACAGGUCUGCAUCACCAUACCCUGCUCUUCCCCUGGAGAAUUAGAACCCAGCCUAUUAUAAGCCUUGGAAAGGGUGGGCCCUGCCUUCCAAAAUGGGGCUGUCUCCGGUGGCUUCAGCUCUUCUUUUUACGUGAUUUGAGAGCGGGUUGUAGGAGUAGGAACUGAAAGCUGGGAAAAGUACCGGACAUGUGGAUUUUUUU
Molecule: long non-coding RNA, 902 nt
Filed under: Fukomys damarensis (Damara mole-rat)
Lineage: Eukaryota; Metazoa; Chordata; Mammalia; Rodentia; Bathyergidae
Description: lncRNA (ENSFDAG00000029090.1)
Source: RNAcentral